Molecule: ribosomal RNA, 253 nt
Filed under: uncultured bacterium
Lineage: Bacteria
Description: partial 16S ribosomal RNA
Rfam family: Bacterial small subunit ribosomal RNA
Source: RNAcentral
UACGUAGGGAGCAAGCGUUGUCCGGAAUCAUUGGGCGUAAAGCGCGCGUAGGCGGCCCUGUAAGUCCGUUGUGAAAACUCGAGGCUCAACCUCGAGACGCCGAUGGAAACCCCCCAGCUAGAGUCCGGAAGAGGAGAGUGGAAUUCCUGGUGUAGCGGUGAAAUGCGCAGAUAUCAGGAAGAACACCCGUGGCUAAGGCGGCUCUCUAGUACGGUACUGACGCUGAGACGCGAAAGCGUGGGGAGCGAACAGG